UACGUAGGGGGCAAGCGUUGUCCGGAAUCAUUGGGCGUAAAGAGCGCGUAGGCGGUCUGUCGCGUCGGCUGUGAAAUCCCGAGGCUCAACCUCGGGUCUGCAGUCGAUACGGGCAAACUGGAGUGUUGCAGGGGAGACUGGAAUUCCUGGUGUAGCGGUGAAAUGCGCAGAUAUCAGGAGGAACACCGGUGGCGAAGGCGGGUCUCUGGGCAACAACUGACGCUGAGGAGCGAAAGCGUGGGGAGCGAACAGG
Molecule: ribosomal RNA, 253 nt
Filed under: uncultured bacterium
Lineage: Bacteria
Description: partial 16S ribosomal RNA
Rfam family: Bacterial small subunit ribosomal RNA
Source: RNAcentral